CUGCGGCUCCGCCCGGUCUCGUGUCCGCGGGCCGGAGGAAGGGGACAGGGUCCCGUGGUGGCCCCCCCAUGCAUGGGCUCCCCACGCACUGGCUUCCGGUUCACGGGGCGAGCACUUCCGGGGCAGGGACGGGUGCCGGGGAAGACCAGCCCAGGAGAAAAGCGUUUGGGGCCCCAGAGGAGUCGGCAUGGGGAAGAAGAGGAGCUCGGGGCUUGGCCGGGCCCUCAUGAAGGAAAGGAGCCAGGCCCGGCGGGGCGGCAGGCAGCCCGACUCCUGGUUACAUACAAGUGAGUUAAAUGACGGGUAUGACUGGGGCCGUCUCAACCUUCAGUCGGUGACAGAACAAAGCUCGCUUGAGGAAUUCCUUGCCACAGCCGAGCUUGCAGGAACCGAAUUUGCGGCUGAGAAACUGAAUAUCAAGUUUGUUCCUGCUGAGGCGAGGACUGGCCUGCUGACAGCAGAAGAGACAAAAAAUAUCAAGAAACUCCAUGAGGAAAACAGACAGUUUUUGUGUAUACCAAGAAGACCAUACUGGGAUAGGAGAACCAGUGCUGAGAAGUUAAAGCAAGCAGAGAGAGAGAGCUUUCUGGAGUGGAGACGACAGCUUGUUCGGCUAGAGGAAGAACAGAAACUGAUUUUGACCCCAUUUGAACGGAAUUUAGACUUUUGGCGCCAGCUCUGGAGAGUCAUCGAAAGAAGUGACAUUGUGGUUCAGAUAGUAGAUGCCAGAAAUCCUCUCCUGUUUAGAUGCCAAGAUCUGGAAUGUUACGUGAAGGAAAUGAGCAGCGACAAAGAGAACAUCAUUCUGCUAAACAAGGCGGAUUUGCUGAGCAAAGAGCAGCGCGCAGCUUGGGCGCAGUUCUUUGAGAGAGAAGGUGUUAAAGUUGUGUUCUGGUCAGCCUUGGCAGAAGGCAUGCGGCUGAGUGCUGAACUUAAGGGACUAGGGUCUGAGGAGGCAAGCGACUCUGAAGAUGGCGGGUCCAGUGAGGAGGAGCACAGUGCCCUGCAGAGCAGUGCAGAAAGCGCACUCGGGGGUAACGCUCUGCAUCUUGAAAGCAGAGUCCUGGGCAGUGAUGCUGAUGACAGUGAUGAAUACGAGGACUGUGAAGAGGAGGAGGAUGCCUGGCAGACCUGUUCUGAAGAUGAUGGUGAGGAAGAAGUAAAUUCCAGUAACCCAAGCUGUAUGGAAAGCAGGACUGACAGGGCUUUCGGGCAAAGCCCAAGGCCACUGCAGAGCAGGCACAUCAGUAACUUCAGCCACCUGGUACAGAAAAACGAACUGCUGGAGAUAUUCAGAACGAUACAUACUGGGAAGAAGGUGAAGGAGGGAGAGGUCACGGUAGGGCUGGUGGGUUACCCUAAUGUUGGUAAGAGCUCAACAAUCAACACGAUCCUUGGAAACAAGAAAGUGUCCGUGUCUGCCACGCCAGGUCACACAAAGCACUUUCAGACUCUGUAUGUGGAGCCUGGCCUAUGUCUCUGCGAUUGUCCCGGUCUGGUGAUGCCAUCCUUCGUCUCUACAAAGGCAGAGAUGACCUGCUGUGGAAUUUUGCCUAUAGACCAGAUGAGGGACCAUGUUCCACCUAUCUCUCUAAUUUGCCAGCAUAUCCCACGACAUGUGUUAGAAGCAACCUAUGGAAUAAAUAUCAUAAGACCCAGAGAAGAUGAGGAGCCAGAUCGCCAACCAACAUCUGAAGAGCUGCUAACAGCAUAUGGAUAUAUGAGAGGAUUUAUGACAGCUCAUGGGCAGCCAGACCAGCCAAGAUCAGCUCGUUAUGUGUUGAAAGAUUACGUCAGUGGUAAGCUGUUGUUUUGCCAUCCUCCUCCUGGCAUUGACCCAAACGACUUCCAACACCAGCACGAAAGAUAUACACAGCACAGAGCUGUGCACGGCAAUGCAGAAAAGUCCGAAAGGAAUCAGAACACAAAACAAAUUGAAAAUGUGGUGGACAAAACAUUUUUCCACCAGGAGAAUGUCCGUGCUCUGACGAAAGGUGUUCAGACUGUGAUGGGAUAUAAACCUGGCUGUGGGCCUGUGCCUUUGGCUGCAUCCAGCUCCGAGAACGUCAGAGGAAAGCCCUGGAAAAAACAUGGGAAUAAAAACAAAAAGGAGAAGGUUCGCAGAAUCACCAAGCACCUAGAUGCAUAGCUGAGGCAUUAGCCACAUGUGCUUGCUGCCAGGCUGGAGACCGCAAUAUGUCCUACAUAUUAUGCGCGCACACUGAAGCAGAAAGGAUAAACCAGCAUCAGUGUUUCACACUGAAAAUCUGACUGUGUGACAGACUGCCUGGGGCAGGUGUGUGAGGUCAGACUCUGCCACACGGUGUUUCUUCCUUCGGAGAAAGAAACAAAGCUCCCUGCUAACCAUCAAAGAACUUGCCAUUGGUCUCUCCUGGAAGCAGUUACAGAAAUAUUCAAUCUUCAAGAAUCCAGUGUGACUUCAGUGGCAGGACAAGCUCAACAAAUACUGCCAAAGUUGAGAAAAAUCCAAACUCCACAGAAUAGCAUGUGGUCCCGUCUGCCCCCAGGCACUCUGUGAUGGUCAGAAACAAAAAAGAAUCUACUCCCCUCGCUCCAUGACCCAAGUUUCUACAGUUUGGCUUCCUUUUGUCCAUGUUUGGUUGGAUGCGAGCUGAAAGGCAGCACCUAAGCUACCUUCCUGUCCGGGAAAUGGGCACCAUGUAAAAGGCUGCAGUGUCCGUACUGUAGCAGAGCUGUGCAAAUCUACAGACCAAAGGCUGGAUGAUGGUGAUUUGCUCUCUUGAAACUCCUCUGGGUGGAGCUUCCAAGCAUUGCUUAUGGCUUGCCAUUAGCACUUUGCCUCGGGAAGUGUUGGCGCCAGGGCUGAUUUCACCCAGGGACACUGUGCUAAUGGUAUCCUACUUGCUGCAGAAUUACCUAUCACCUUUUCCCUGCUGGGGUUUCCAUUGCAGCUGCAGUGCUGGCCUCAGUUCCCUUUCUCCGUUCAGCUCUUCUGAGCAGCAGGUUGUCCCUUCAGUAUCCCAUGGCACGGCAGGUGUUUUCCACCUCCACUAACCUGGGCUGUUCUACAACAGUCAAGUUCUUAAUUAAAUCUCUUUCCAUUAUUAAUAGUCUUAUAUUAUUUCUGUCAUCGCCCCCCUCCAGUGACACUCAUCUACAGCAAAGAUGAUCCUCAACUCCCUAGUUCAAGGAGGCCGAAGAACAAACUGCUCAGGGCCCUGUAUGUUCAGCCUCUCUCAAAUAUAAAACCCACAGUGUAAUCGGUAUUCUAAGAUAGCAUCCCCUAGAGAAAGAUGGGCACACGGCAGAGCCUUCUGUGGCUUGGGUCCCUGAGGGAAGUUGACAGCAGCUAAAAAUAGGUUUUUGCCUUGAAGGUUUCAUCGCCGAAAACCUAAGCUCCAGGAUGAAGCGGCCCUUUUGAAGUGCAGGGGAGAACUCCACGUCAGAGGUGUAGGAAGAGGCGAUACUGGAGGUGCAGAUGUGAGGGCAGCAGCACAGAGUAGCUGUGCUCCACAGCUUUAGGUAUGCCAACGACUGCGCCGUGGGAUGCUCAGCGACAGAUGAUCCCACUCAGGCAGACAGGGGAGGGAUCUGAAGGGAAUCUACAAAGAAGACAAACAUCUUGGUUGAAGUGCUCUGGGUCACGGUGUUACGAAGCUAUUUUUGACUACUGUAGAAGGUAAGAGAAAUGUGGUUUUCGUGCACCACAUCAAUCUAGGGGCUAAUCACAUGCUCUGAAGAGGGGAAAAGAGCAGACAGUGAUUUGCCUGCUAAUGAGUACAAAUCCAGUCCCCAUUGUAAACAAACGGUCACGAAAAUGUCACAGGCCCUUGACAGUGGAAUGCUGUUUUGGCUUCAGCCCACCUCCUUCCCUGUAAGUGACUUCUUUCUUUUUGUUAUGGGGAAACUACCUUACAGUGCUGGCAACCUGAACCCAAGUGAACGUGCUACUGGAUGCACUACAAGAUGCACAGUGAAUUUCAGACGGACAGACCAGCAGGGAGGACUGUGUUGUGUGUGUCCUUUUUAGCUAAGGAAGCAGGGUUAAAGUAACACUGCGCUGAUGAGCUGGCUCCGCGGCUGCUGAGAGCUGCAAAGAUUUGAGUGUCUGACAGGUGCACUCCUGCAGCUGCUGCCUACCUUUGAUCCUAAGCAGGACCAUUCUUCUGCUGAACACAAGAGAAGCUGUAAAAUGCUACAACUCAUUUCACAGCCACUGUGUGGCAAUUGCACCAGGACGUGCCUUCAUGCUUGGCUUUUGUGGGAGAACACGCUGCUUAUUUUAAGAUGCUCCUUACUAAUGAAGAGAUGAAAGCUGAACAAAGGGCACAUUCUCUGCAGUGAUUUGCCUGUGUCAGGCCCCAGGAGGGGAGGCACUCCUGCUUUUUUGGAACAAAAUAAUAACUUCACUGUGUGAGUGUUUCAUUCAUUCGCCAAGGUUAUUUGCUGAAUAAUUUCUACAAAUAAACUUUGCUUUGUAGACUCUUCAUGAGCAGUUCUGCACCUGUAUUCAAUACAUGAAAUUCAGGCUGUGCCAACUAGAUGCACAGGUCACGUGCUUUUGUUCCAGCUCCUUGAUUUGAAGAGUGUAACUCCUGGAAACAGAUUUCUGCAGCAGCUACUCACUUUGACGCAUUCUAGCUUCACGUCCACAAACGUACAUGUGGGUAGUUCACAGCGAUCUGGGAGUUCUAUAACACUCCCCUCAGAUUGUCACCAAGAGGGAGGGGUUGAUUCUGAAGCCUGUUGUGUCAGACAUCUCCAGUUAUUCUGGGACUGUGGGUGGAGUAGGGGAGGGUUAAAUCUGGCAUUUCUCCGACAGGAACACUUGUUUUUGUCUCAAAUUGUGACCAAGUGCACAUUGCAAAGAGUCUAGUGGAAAAGAAGUGUCAAAAUUUGACUUGAAACAUUUUGUUUCAACAUUUCUGGGCAAAACGUUUUGACAUUCCCCAGCUCAAAGUGUUUUGGUUUUGUGAACUGACUCGCAAUGCAGUGUUUUGAGUCAGUUCAAUAAUAAACCCCACUUUUCCCAACAGUGGUGCAUUGCGUCAUGAGAGUUAUAGGUUAGGAACCUGAUGGUACUGUUUUCCCUUGGGGCCAGGCUAUGUGGUUAAACUACAUCUCCCAUAAUGUACCCCAAGACAUGUAACUCCCACGGUGCUCUGUGCAGCUCAGUCAGAAGGAAAUCCACAUUGCUGUAUGGGAGUUGUAGUCCUCCAGCCAAUAGAAGAGACUGGAAGUCUGAACUACAAUCCCAGGAGGCAAGAUGUUGAUAGGGAAAUUCUUAUUUAUUUAUUUAAACUGAUUCAAAACUAAAUGUUUCAAGUCAGUAAAAAAAUAAAAUAUUUUGAUUUAGGUUGAACUGACCUGAAAUAAAAUGUCUUGAUUUUCCUAAUGGAAAAAUGAAAACUUUUAGCAAAAUCAAAAUUCUCCUGCAGAAAAAUUUGAUUUUGUGGAAAUUGCAUUUUCUGCCAGAAAAUCAUUGUGAUAGAACAUUCCAGGAUGACUCUGGAGCAGAGUCUGAACUGAGUUCUGCAUCCCCCAGUCCGGACCCCUGCCUGUAUGUGUGUUUUGAAAGCUUCAGUUGCAAUUGCAGAUGGCUUCUGAGGGAGAAGGGCCUGAACUGUCAGUUAAGGAGGUGGAAAAGCAGGAAGUGAGGGCAUUAAUGCUGCCAGGGAUUGGGUAUUGACAGCUGUCAGGACAAGCUCCAGUUCCUAUGUAUAAAAGCACCAGGUGUGAGAGGCUCGUCUGUGUGUUGCUAGGUGGAAAUUUCACACAAACCAGCAAAACAAAGCCUGGCAGGAAUCCGUAAUAAGCAGCAGUAUUUCUUUGCUCAAGGCACAAUGUCCACCUAGCAAUGGGACCCACCCUGUCCUCACCUUUUCCUUCCAUAUGCUAGAUACGGCUACAAGCUUUUAUUGCUCUUUCAUUCUAGCGCUGGAAAAACCUGGUAAAUAGCAAUAAAAUUAAUAUUGUACACUGCUCUAGUGCCUUCUAGGCUGAAGGAUCUCAAAGCAUUUUACAAAUCCUGCGGUACUUGCUCCCAUUGAAGUAAAGGAGUGAGGACUUUAAAAUUUGGCCCUGUAUGUGCCCAGCUACUUGCCUGGGGGAGGCUAUCAGCCAGCAUGCCCCCUGCACAACUGUGGGGUAGAGAGCAAACUGGCCACUCAUCUAAAUGGACUGGUCUACCCCAAAAUAGCUGGAAGUGACAGGUGUUUGUACUGUGCUCAUCUGUCCUCUGAGUGGCUCUGGCCUAUCUGUAAUCAAAGGGGGAAGGAUAGGAUUUCUGGCCAACAUGGCUCCACGGUACAGUGAACAGGGCACAGGAGUGAGAGGCAGGAGACCUGGCCUCUAUUCCUGGCUCUGCCACUGACUCAGUGUGUGACACCGGCCAAGUCCCUUCAUACCUCUGUGCCUCUGUUUCUCCACCUGGAAAACAGGGAUAAGGCGGCUCGCUAACUUCUCUCUAGUGCACUCAGAUCUGCACACAAAAGUAUUAUUUCUGUGUGCUGGCCAUCCACCGAUGGCUUGGCUUCAGUGCUGUGCCCUGUUUCUCUGCCCUUUGUCUCAGAAGCUCUUCAGAGCGGGCGCUUCACGUUUUCUUGUGUUCGGACAGCACCUGACACAAGGUGCUGCUUCUACAAACUAAAUAAAUUCAGCCCUGUACUGUU
This is an RNA transcript of Chelonia mydas (Green sea turtle), 6653 nucleotides long. It is a transcript of the gene named large 60S subunit nuclear export GTPase 1, with no coding region annotated. The transcript has 17 exons. NCBI's taxonomy places the organism in Eukaryota, Metazoa, Chordata, Testudines, Cheloniidae. The record is from RefSeq and is a predicted model, not a curated record.